RNAcentral lists this ribosomal RNA (305 nucleotides) under uncultured bacterium. RNAcentral's name for it is "bacterial SSU rRNA". It matches the Rfam family "Bacterial small subunit ribosomal RNA", at positions 333 to 654 of the family's 1533-position model. The record is from RNAcentral.
AUAGUCCUACGGGGCGCAGCAGUCGGGAAUAUUGCGCAAUGGAGGAAACUCUGACGCAGUGACGCCGCGUAUAGGAAGAAGGUUUUCGGAUUGUAAACUAUUGUCGUUAGGGAAGAUAAAAGACUGUACCUAAGGAGGAAGCCCCGGCUAACUAUGUACCAGCAGCCGCGGUAGUACGUAGGGGGCAAGCGUUAUCCGGAUUUACUGGGGGUAAAGGGAGCGUAGACGGAGGAGAAAGUCUGAUGUGAAACUCAGGGGCCCAACCCCGGACCUGCAUUGGAAACUGUUUAUCUAGAGUGUCGGAG